RNAcentral lists this ribosomal RNA (464 nucleotides) under uncultured bacterium. Its description in RNAcentral is "partial 16S ribosomal RNA". It matches the Rfam family "Bacterial small subunit ribosomal RNA", at positions 28 to 507 of the family's 1533-position model. The record is from RNAcentral.
GACGAACGCUGGCGGCGUGCUUAACACAUGCAAGUCGAACGGAAAGGCCCUGCUUGCAGGGUACUCGAGUGGCGAACGGGUGAGUAACACGUGGGUGAUCUGCCCUGCACUUCGGGAUAAGCCUGGGAAACUGGGUCUAAUACCGGAUAGGAGCCAUUUUUAGUGUGAUGGUUGGAAAGUUUUUUCGGUGUAGGAUGAGCGGGCGGCCUAUCAGCUUGUUGGUGGGGUAAUGGCCUACCAAGGCGGCGACGGGUAGCCGGCCUGAGAGGGUGGACGGCCACAUUGGGACUGAGAUACGGCCCAGACUCCUACGGGAGGCAGCAGUGGAGAGUAUUACACAGUGGGCGCAAGCCUGAUGCGGCGACGCCGCGUGGGGGAUGACGGCCUUCGGGUUGUAAACUACUUUCGCUAGAGACGAAGCUUUUGUGACGGUACCUAGAUAAGAAGCACCGGCUAACUACGCG